RNAcentral lists this ribosomal RNA (225 nucleotides) under Triticum aestivum (bread wheat). RNAcentral's name for it is "partial small subunit ribosomal RNA". Lineage: Eukaryota; Viridiplantae; Streptophyta; Magnoliopsida; Poales; Poaceae. The record is from RNAcentral.
AUGAAUUGCUUGGCCUAGAACUGUCGAGGACUGGGGUUGGACUCGACAGUAGGCGAACUUCGGGACCUCAUACAGUCACACAACCCAGUGGUGGUUUUCUUAUCAGAAACAAAAAAGAGUGCGAAGGCUAUGGAGAGAUUGAAGUGGAGACUUGGUUUCAGAAGCGGAGUGGCUGUGGAUUGUAAUGGGAGGAGUGGAGGACUUGCAUUAUGGUGGAGAGAGCAU